CCUACGGGCGGCAGCAGUGGGGAAUAUUGCACAAUGGGGGAAACCCUGAUGCAGCGACGCCGCGUGAGUGAAGGAGUAUUUCGGUAUGUAAAGCUCUAUCAGCAGGGAAGAAAAUGACGGUACCUGAUUAAGAAGCCCCGGCUAACUACGUGCCAGCAGCCGCGUUAAUACGUAGGGGGCAAGCGUUAUCCGGAUUUACGGGGUGUAAAGGGAGCGUAGACGGCAGCACAGGUCUGGGGGGAAAUGCCGGGGCUAAAGGCCGGAACUGCUUUUGAAACUGGCCAGCUAGAGUGCAGGAGAGGUGAGUGGAAUGCCUGGUGUAGCGGUGAAAUGCGUAGAUAUCAGGCGGAACACCAGUGGCGAAGGCGUCUUACUGAACUGUAAUUGACGUUGGUGCUCGAAAGCGUGGGGAGCAAACAGGAUUAGAUACCCUAGUAGUC
This 440-nucleotide ribosomal RNA is filed under the name uncultured bacterium. RNAcentral's name for it is "partial 16S ribosomal RNA". It matches the Rfam family "Bacterial small subunit ribosomal RNA", at positions 338 to 795 of the family's 1533-position model. The record is from RNAcentral.